AAAUUGAAGAGUUUGAUCAUGGCUCAGAUUGAACGCUGGCGGCAGGCCUAACACAUGCAAGUCGAACGGUAACAGGAAACAGCUUGCUGUUUCGCUGACGAGUGGCGGACGGGUGAGUAAUGUCUGGGAAACUGCCUGAUGGAGGGGGAUAACUACUGGAAACGGUAGCUAAUACCGCAUAAUGUCGCAAGACUAAAGAGGGGGACCUUCGGGCCUCUUGCCAUCGGAUGUGCCCAGAUGGGAUUAGCUAGUAGGUGGGGUAACGGCUCACCUAGGCGACGAUCCCUAGCUGGUCUGAGAGGAUGACCAGCCACACUGGAACUGAGACACGGUCCAGACUCCUACGGGAGGCAGCAGUGGGGAAUAUUGCACAAUGGGCGCAAGCCUGAUGCAGCCAUGCCGCGUGUAUGAAGAAGGCCUUCGGGUUGUAAAGUACUUUCAGCGGGGAGGAAGGGAGUAAAGUUAAUACCUUUACUCAUUGACGUUACCC
This 490-nucleotide ribosomal RNA is filed under the name Shigella sonnei. RNAcentral describes it as "bacterial SSU rRNA". It matches the Rfam family "Bacterial small subunit ribosomal RNA", at positions 1 to 480 of the family's 1533-position model. The record is from RNAcentral. Lineage: Bacteria; Pseudomonadati; Pseudomonadota; Gammaproteobacteria; Enterobacterales; Enterobacteriaceae.